Xyrichtys novacula (pearly razorfish) is the source of this 32379-nucleotide non-coding RNA. The record is from the annotation of a GenBank genome assembly. NCBI's taxonomy places the organism in Eukaryota, Metazoa, Chordata, Actinopteri, Labriformes, Labridae.
GUGUACUUUUUACCACUUAAACUUUCAUGGUAGAGUUUGUUUUGAAUGCUCUGUACUCUUGCUGGUUCCCAGUGUGCUUGGAGAAGGGGGGUAUGGUUGUCUGAGUAGGUUUGUUCGGGAGCUGGGUGGCAGACAGAGGGUCUGGUAGCUGAAGGAGGAUGUGGGUAGAGUCUGCCCAGACAGAUGGAGGGAAACGAUGGAGAGAUGGAGCGAUACAAGAGGACUGAGUCUGAGAGAAUGUUCUUCUCCUCCUUCUCUCUGUCCUGACAUAGCUUGUGAAUGGACCUCCAUUGUCUGUGUUAGGACUUCUUGGAUGUUGACCCUUCUCCAGAGGUCAGAAGGGGCACAGUGUAGAUGAGAGAGCGCAUAAUUGCAGCAUAAACACAAAGAGUGGCCCACUGAGAGGCCCAGACACUGGGCCAGUUUGACCCCUACAAGGCUGUACGAUAAUGUGUCACUGUGUGUGCUGUUUGUUUGAUCUAUUAUUUGUUGAAAACUUCUUAUGAUAGAAGGCAAAAGAAGUUACUGCAUUGUUUUCCGAGUAGAGGAGGGAAAGUUCUGUUCAAAAGUAGAUGGACAGACAAUUUGGCUGGUAAACAGAUAAAUGGAUAGACAUACAGUUGAAUUAGUGGCAUUUACUCCCAUGGACCCUGUAAUUGUUUGCACCGUGUUCUUUUUUGAUAAAUCGAUUGUUCAGGAUUGUUAUGCCAUCCUUUUCAGGUAAAUUUCAUGGCAAUCAGUUUUGUGGUACAUCUCCUCACACUACAAAAGUGUUUGAGACAGAUAUAGUGGCAUAUUUACAGUGACAUAUACUAUUUCAGUGUAAUCAUUGAAGGUGACAGGACAGUGCAGAGCUUCAUGUGUGUGAAGCUUGUGCUGCUUUUUUACUCAUCGUGCCUUUGGGCUUGCUCCUUGCCAAAAUACCAUUAAAUAGUUUGACAUAACCAAUAGUAUACUUUUGUGGGGUUCUGUGUAGAAGUACACAGACAGAGUAGUGAUGGUGCUAAAUUACAGUGCUGGGGUAGAGUUAGGGUGACCAUAUUCUGAAUCCCCAAAAAGAGGACACGCAGGGGCGGAGUUACGGAGUUACGGAGUUACGGAGUUGUGCGUAGUUAAUUUUGAGAGUUUUCUGGGUCGGGUUAAGUGUUUUUUAUGCGCUUCUAACUCAGCAAGUUCAUGCAACAGAAACUCAUAACUUCCAUACAAAACCCCGGACAUUUGAAAGAUUCUAUAAACUUAACAAGACAAAGCCAAUCUUUAAUAAUAAUAUAAUAAUCUUUCUCCCUCUGUUGAACAUUUCCUUGAACAUACCCUUUCACCAUUUGUUUAUUAUCAACAUUGCUGUACAGCUGUUGGUGAUAAAAAGAUGCAAGGGAAGCUACUAAAUUAAGACAAGAGAAGAGGAUGAGGUGUGUGUGUGUGUGUGUGUGUGUGUGUGUGUGUGUGUGUGUGUUUUGCAGUGGAGUUGACAUUGAGCCAUCCUUGGCAUUUCAAACUUGGGCAUUGUGCCUAUAGGUCCCAGUGGAGUUGAGGUUUUGUGUGUGUGUGUGUGUGUGUGUGUGUGUGUGUGUGUGUGUGUGUGUGUGUGUGUGUGUGUGUGUGUGUGUGUGUGUGUGUGUUGACAUCUCUGCUGUGUUUGGGUGGAUCUGCAGUCUAGUUGGCUCUCUCUGGUCAGUGUGUCAGUCAGUGUGUGUCGUGUGAGAGGGCACGCUCGUUGCAUCUGAAACCUCCGGGCUGACGGCCGGCGGGCACGGCUCAGCCACUGCUGCUCCACCUGGCUGAUUGAUACGGGCCUGUUUGAAGUCCUCUCAGGGAGAAAGAGCUCUAUUCAUGAGUUGCUGGUCCCUCCACACAGCCUGCCCCACCUCUCACUGCUGUCCCUCCACUCUGUUAACAGCUGAAAUGUUACCCUGCUCAUAGAGGUAUGAGGCUGAGGUGGACAUACAGCCACAUGAUAGACAGCCUCAAAAUGAUCAUCUGUGGAGCUCCUAGCUUUAGUGUUCAGCUCUCUUUAUUGAAACUGAGUGUAAGUCAUGUGGAGAGAAGGCCAACCCUAACUCUUGUGUCUCUGGUAUUCACCAUGUAAUGUACCUGUUGACUAUCUUACUGUCUUGAGUUAUUGAGAAGCUUUUUUUUACACCCUUUCUUCAUCUGUCAAGAUUUUGUUUACUACCAGGCCUCCUAGCACCCAUGCUAUUCAACUUUAUGUUCAGAGCACAGUGCAAACACCGGAGCAUGUGAAGAACGCUUAGCUAGUUUCAGUUUGAUUGAUUUGUAUCAUAGACUGUACAUACUAUGGACAACUUGGUUCCGCCUUCCGCCAGUAUAUGGAUUUGAAGCCAAAAAGAGCUCUGUAUUUCCACAAUUUUUCUCCAUUUCCUGAAACCAACAUUGUGCAGUAGUGCUGUACGCACUCCAGCACUUACGCAGUAGCAUUGUACGCAUUUGUUGGGAGAGUCGCUGUGAUAACGUUCAGCUCAAACUGUGUAUCCCCUGGGUGAGCUACACAAUCUUCGUACGCCCAUAGGCUGUAUCAAGUGUCAAUAAUAGAAAACAUGAACCCCCUAAUAACUUUAAAAAUGGAGCUGCACAGAAAAAAGAGGACUCCAAUACAAACCAGUCUUACAGUAACUAUAUGUCAACAUUGCGUGUAAUUAAUUUCUAAAGUUUGUCCACAACUCCAUAAGCUUUGCAGACAGAGGCAGGAUUUAUGACCUAUACUGCAGCCCGUUACCAGAAUGUGCUGUUCUUGGGGUGGCUUUACCCAGCAAGGAGGCAGACAACAUCCAUUCUAUAUUCAGUCUAUGGUUUGUAUACAUGACAGAGAGAAUCAAUCCCCAACUGCAUAAUUCAGGUUAGGUAGUCCAACUAUAAGAAGUUCCAUUAAUGUGAUUUCAGUUAGACUAACGUGUUUACAUGAUUUUAAAAAGUUCACUCAAAGGUGGACUUUUGCAGUUAACUCAUGCUUGUCUAAACUGUCAGCUGCGCCACAUUAGUAACAUUUUUAUACAAGCUAGGCUAACUGGCUGCUGGCCAUCCAACUCACUAGCCAUGUUUACAUGAGCAAAAUUUCUCGAACAAAUUAAAAAUUUGUGGGAUCAGAAAUUCUGAAUCCACUGUUUACAUGGGUGCAAAAUCAAAUAAUCCAAUCAAGACGUGCGUAUACAUGCAACAAGCUUUUUUAAGGUUAGAAGCAUUUGGACAUGCGCAGAGUUGUCUAAUUUCACCAAAACAACUGCAGAAGAAGAAUUGUAUUUACACCUGUGCUGUUAACAAACCAACAAACGCGGUAGUGGCUCACAUCAUCCGAUUCAGAAUGGACCUGAACCAGGUUCUGAGAGAGGUUGUAUUGCACCGAGCAUUCAUGAUCAUCAAGCAAGCCCAGCAGCACAUUCUGAUCCUGCGUAACAUGAGGAGACUGUAUACAGCCAAAAACUCGUGUCAGACACUGACUUAAUUGCUCUUGGAUCCCACCAUGUUUACACCUUGUCACUAACAGUGGAAAUACGUCACAAUGUCGUAGGGUACACAUGUGCAGUCAGGUUAGUUUUGCCUGAGCAGAGAGUCACGAUUAGAAUAAGUGUUUACGGUUGGCAUAAACCACCCCUCUUGAUCAGAAUGCAAUUUCUUUCCAAUUGAGCCGAAUUGUAUCAGACUUCCGAUUAACAUGUUUAGAUGAUGCAUUUUUAUUCUGAACAGGCCUUUAUUCCGAAUAUUUGUGCCCAUGUAAACGCAGCUAUUGUAAGGAAUUGAACGUAUCAAAAUAUGACGACCAAAAUCAAAUUAUCCUUUAAAAGACAACAUUGAUGAGCUGUCACUCAAGGCCUUUGACAAAAUCCCCCAAUAAUUUAAAUUGGGACGAUGUUUUAAGUGUUGUAUGCAAAUUUUGUUGCUGUGUUUUUGUGUGUUAAUGUGCAUGCACACAGUCAUGCAUGCAUUACCCUAAUGUUGUCAUCUUGUAUUGUGCACAUAUGAGUAGAGGUCCCUUGCAAUUUUCUAUCAGCAAGAUCUGAUGUUGACAGGCAGGGUCGGGAUCAGUUCCUGGCCCUCUCAGCACGUUUUGUCUGUGGGAUCCCUGGAAUGUGCAGGAAUGCGGACUCAAGCAGGUGGAGAGGUCCUCCUCAGAGACAAACACCCAAACACAACCCUGAAUCCUCAUCUCCUUCCCCCUCUUUCUCAUCUCUCUGCCUGGUCCGUUUCUUCUAGGCCUUGCCUGACAAUUUGUCUGAAGCGUGAAUGUCAGGAAACAGCUCUCAUCUCCUCUUUUUUUAUCCAUCAGACAAAACGUAUGGGAGUAGUCAUCUGGAGAGAAAAGAAUAGUUUAACAUGAGAAUGUGUACUGUCCGGAUAUUUCAGUUGAGAGUGUGGUCUCUUGUUUCCAGCACUGGUUCAUUUAACCUAGCCGAGAAAAAAGUCAGACAGGUAUUCUUCCAGGUUAAACUGGAGAAGUAACCCUCUGGAGCAGAGCUGGAUGAAUUAAAAAAAAAAACCUUUUACUGUCAGCUCCCCUCGUCCCCCUCCACCCUCUGCCCUCCUCUCUUCCCUUCACUCAGAUUCUUAUCGUCUGUUAGAUUAUUGCUUCCUGUAGAGACCUGGAGCUGCCUCUGCUCUCUGUUUUAUGGCCCUCAUGUUCUUGAAUGAAGCACAUGGCCAAAUUAUUACAAUCCACACAAUGAAGGCAACAAAGGAGCCAGUAUUAAAACAGGUGACAGUGACAUUUUAGGAUGCACCAACAGUAUAUGUUUGACAGUUUUGAAUUUUGAAUUUGACAAAUUUCUCAUUUAAUUAAUCCCUUAAUUUCAACACUUAAUGCAUUUUCAUGCUUUAUACUUUUUUCUGGUCUUUCCUUUUUAUGCAUUGUAGUUGAUUUGUCAUUUUUCUAUUUAGAGUCUGAGAUUGUGCAGAGAAACUCAAGACUUUGCAGUGUAGUAGUGUAUUGUUUACUGUUUUUGUAGUAUAAGAGACAGACCGAUUAAUCUGGACAAUUGCCGUUGGCCCUCACAAGACUGAUAUUACUGUUUCCUUUUCUAAACACAUUUUCCUCAAAUGACAGCAAAUCUAAAACAAUCACUAGCUUGUGUUUGAUAUAGAUUUUCGUCACGAUGUACAGACAGAAGCUGGUAUACGAAUCAGACAUUUUCUGGAGUCUGUAACUUAAUCCAAUAUAAAAAAUACUCAUCAAUUGAUUUAAAAUCCAUCUAAAAUAUAUUUCUAGUCAAGAUAGCAACUUUUGUUAGAUUUAAAUGUUCAUGGAUGGGUUUCUACAUGAUUUCUCUGUUUAAUUUUACCAUGUAGUUUUUAUCUUUCUGAAUAAUUUCACAAAAGGGAUACCGUUUGAUUUUCGAAAAAAGUUCAAACCAUCUUCACGACUUCCACUGAAUUCGACAAAGUGUUUAGUUUUAUAAAGUUCUUGCUUGUACCAUCUUUUCUCGCCAUCCUGCUAGCCACCAGGAAGGAAGUUGAGGUCAGUUGUGUUAAUGUUGGUACUAUAUUAUUUGGGUAAUUUACUAAUUAAUAUACCACGGUUUUCUUUUAUCUGCAGGAUUGUGACCUAAUAAGAAAAGCUGUUAAAUGUUGUGCUGCUAGACUGCUUGUCUCUCCAUGUAUUCAGCAUUUUUUGGGCUCACUUCCUUUUUUGCUUCUUUUUUUCAAUUCCAGCUGAGUUGAUAGCAUAAUAAAGAAAAAAUGAAGCUAUUUUCCAACACAGACCAGUAAUUUUAUCUUAUAUCAUGGCGCGAAGACAGCAUAAGACCCCAAAACUACUGCUCUUGGGCAUCCUUUUAACAAAUUUUUGUCUUUUCGUUUGAAUUUUUCAACACAAAGUUAAACACACUGUUCGAAUAAAAAACACAUGUCUACAUCAUCCUGUCCUUCAUCAGCCUGACAACAGUACAGUGUGCCAGCCAUCAUCCUCCUCAGUCCCAUUAGUGCAUAAUUUCUGGGGUAACCAGAGCCACCAAGACCCCCUUUGACACCCACUCCCACACCCCCUGUCCUGUAAGACUUCUGUUCCCUCUGAUUAGAUUUGUCUCUUCAAAUUGAAUCUUACUCUGAAACAAACACCCUCUUACUCACACAAGGAUACACACAAAUACUCAUAAACAUGACACUGAAACUCUUAGUUGAUUGUUUAUGCGGUGACUCUUAUUCUCAGUAAAAGCUGCUAAUAGGAGCAAAUUACUGCCAACAACUUGGAAAUAUCGAGUGCCCGACUGCUCAGCUGUAAUGGAGUUAGUGCUGACCAAUCUGAUUAUGGGCCUCAAUGGAGCAAGGAGAAGGAUGGAUGGGAUUGGGGGAGGAGGUGAAGGGGUUGGCCUCAGGGGAAUGGGGAGUGCAGGGUACCUGGCUCCUGGAAGCUAACUGUUGCUGUUUGGCUUUAAUUGCGUUUGGAAUGGACUGUGGGUUAGAGUUGCUCCUGCCAUCCAGACUGGAGCAGGAGACGUGAUCUGAUCAGUCUUUAUUUGCAAACAUGAAACAUCUGCUGUGCUCAGGGCUGCUUUUGUCUCUCUUUAAAUAUCACAACAAUUACUGCUACAAGUCUUCUGAUCACUCACCCCGUACAGCAUUGCAAAAAAAAAAAAAAAAAAAAAAAACAGCUCAGAGAAGGAUUGUGUAGGUCCCAUGAUGCCAAACUUUGCAGCAGCUUUUAAAACAAGUUACAAUGCGAGAUGCAAUCUAUUGAGGCUUUAUUGUCUUGGGAGGACACAGCGCACCCACUGUGUCCUUUAGAGGAAAAUCCUCUAAUGCAAGUGAUCAAGAGACUGAGCAAGUUGUUUGUCUUCUACAUCACCUCUGGUUAAUGUUGAUGACGAGAAGUGAGAAAAAAGGAAACUUAAGUGUGCCUAUUCCACAUCUUUUUAAAUGUACAAUAAAUAACCUCUUGUAUUUAUGUGUUAGAAAUUCUGCUCAUUAGUUGGUUGCUCCACCAUAAAAAAAAUCACAGACAAGAGACGAGCAUAUAUCUCCUCAGUAGCCACAUUUACAUGAACACAAUUUCUUGAUCUGAUUAAAAAUUUGAGAGAUAAGAUAAUCUGAAUCCACUGUUUAUAUGGGUGCAAAAUUAAAUAACUCAAUCAUGACGUGCGUAUACAUGCACCAAGCUUUAUUCAGAUUAGAAGCAUUUGGACAUGUGCAGAGUUGUCUAAUUUUGCUAAAACAACCGCAGAAGAAGAGUUGUAUUUACGCCUGUGCUGUCAACAAACCAACAAAUGCGGUAGUGGUUCACUCAAUCCCAUUCAGGAGUUUUCCCCUGCUAAAUGUUGUCAUGAGGUGGAUCCCUUGCGUACUUAUUUUACUGUUCUGUCAAUGGUUGCUCUGUGCGUGCAGAUGUGACAUCAUUUCGCUCUAUGUACACCUUGUUAUGUUACCAGAGGAGCAGACACAGCACCUACAGUUGUGUCUUAUGCCAGAGUUUUAACGAUGAAACCCUCUGGCCUCGAUAAAUAAGCCAAAGGCUAAAGAAUGCAGAUCGGAAAUGUGUCACGGUGACGUAGGGUACACAUGUGCAGUCAGGUUAGUUUUGCCUGAACAGAGAGUCACGAUCGAAUAUAUGUUUACAAGUUUCUGAAUAACGAUCGGCAUAAACCACUCCUCUUGAUCGGUAUCCAAUUUCUUUCCAGUUGAGCCGAAUUGGAUCAGAAUCCUCCAAUUGACAUGUUUACAUGAUGCAUUUUUAUUCCGACCGGUCAUUUAUUCAGAUUAUUUAUGCCCAUGUAAAUGCAGCUACUGUAGGAUCACUCUGAGAUUAGGAAUUACUUUCAUUCAAAGAGUUUAAGACUAUUCUGAGGAAAAUUUGGAGCUAAGCCUGUGAUUGGCAUCACAAGGCACCAGGAAGCGGAUAACUAAAAAAUGUCUUCAAGAAAACAUGGCAACAUAUUUUCAAAAAUACUUUAAGUAUUGGGUUUAGUGUUGUGGAUUAACUGUGCAGAACUAUACAUGUAUUUUCAUGACUCAAAUAUGUUAAAAAUCAAGUGCAAGUAAUUUUGAUCGGGUACAUGUUGAGACUUGUGAGGAAAAGAAGGUGAUUGGUCAAAUUUGCAGAAAUAAAUGGCAAGAUCCCAAAAAUGAUCCAAGGACUAGUUAAAGAUUGUGACAUCUUAGAACACUAAUAAAUGAUAUGUAAGACCUUAAAUGUGGGAUAUUGACGUUUAAUUGUAGAGGUGAGUAGCUCUCCUUUUCAGGGAGAUCCAACGUGUACAAGUCCAUUUAAUCUUUUUUACAGUCUCCUCUUUACCAGGUGAUAACAUGAAUAUUUACAGAAAUAAGCAAAACCUUGACCGGGAGAGAAAGUCCUGGUUGUUUCCUCUGUGUUACCAGAAUAGUACCAUAUUAUCUGAAGUAUUUAAGUUUUUUUACUUCUCCAGGAGGUAAAACAUUAGACUGUCAGAAGUAUCUGCUCUUGGAAAAAAAAAAAAAACUCUUCCUUUAAAGCUUAUAUAUUCCCGGCAGAAUUGGACUACUCCUGUUGCACUAAAAUGCUUGAGAUGAUUGAAAGUUUUAUUGAGGUCAAGAACAUGUGACGCUUCUUAAGGUCGGAGCAGCAGUUACGGCCUUGUUGUGUUUGUUUUUGUUCUGCUGUGUGAGAGACAUCAGGCUGACAUCGACCCUGGAGGUCAACAAGAACACAGCUCUCAGCUUGCUGGGUCGGCUUUGUUUGACGUCUGGAAAUGUUCGACUGGUAACUCAAACCAGGUCUGUUAAUCACAGCUAAUACAAGUUUGAUGCCGAUGUAUUUUUCCCCUCUAUCUUCCUCUUCAUUUAGCCUCCAUUACCUCUGCCUUGCUUCCUCAUUCCCCAUCUCCUGUCCUCCCUCCUCCUCCUCUUUUCUGUCUCCCUGUGGUACCCGCUCCCCUCAGGCAUCCCAAACCUCAUUUACACAGAAAUGUUUAGCCAGCACAGGAAGCAACCCGUGCCCUUAACAAAAUUACGGCCCAGCCAGCGAAUGAGCCGCGGGGCUGGUCUGUAGGGACCAAUCACAGAGGGGCUGGGCUCUACCACUUCCUGCAUUGUUGAACUCAAAUUGCUGACUUUUUAGUGCCCCCACCUUUUCUAUUCUAGACAACUUUGUACCCAACUGAGAGCUUACCUCCAACAUCGUGAAGCAAUAUGCUCCUAACAGCUUUUAUAUGAGCUGCUUUAAAUGAUGUUAAUGAUAAGAGCUGUAAUGAUGGUGAUGUAAAUGCACUGAGUGCUGUGUUAACAGAGACAGGGUGCUCGGCUGUGCUCUGAUCACUAUCUCUGCGGCGCCUCAGUAAUUUAGCUCUGAAGUUGGCUCUAUUAAUGGGCCUCUGCUUUUCCUUUUCCCUCUCAUAUCCUUUUAAUCUCCCUGUCCCUGGAUUCCAUUUUACAUCCUCUUGUCCUUCUCCAGCCAGUUCAGAAAAGGAUCAUACUGGUUUUAAACUUUAUAAGCACAUCACUGCUGUGGCAAAAAACAACUCAUGCCCAGAGGAUUUCUUUUAGAAGAACAGGCUGUACGUUGUUAAAGUAGUGACAACAAAGUUUAAAAAAGCAUACACUAGUGGGCUGUAUUCACUUGGGAAAUAAACUGCUGUCAUAUCUGAACUGACAAGAUAGUUUUCUUAUUAUUACCAGAAGUUUUUAUUUUAUUUUUUUUUAAUGAAUGAGAAAGUGGUACUUAAAAAUAUCAACAGUAGUUUUCAUUUAGACCAAUCAAGGAAACAAGCAUGUUCUGACAUUUUGGUUCAACCUAGUUUUACUCUGGUUUGGCUUUGAGGCAUGAUGGACGCUUGUGUCUGUAAGUAAUGUGGAGGUCAUCGUAUGAGCUGUUGUUCAAGUGCAAAGCCAAUUUUGAUCCACUAGUUCCUGAAGUGUUUUGUGAGUUAAUCUGGAAUGUAAUAUGAAUAAAGGAUGAAAUUAAAGGAUGAUAAUUAUCUAGCUAAUUCAGAGAAAAAUCUGAAGGAAGUUUUAUUUCCGAGUGAACACAAUAAGAUUCGGUCAAAACAGAAACAAUAGUCCCAAAAUGUGCCAUGGCAGAAACAGACUGGAUUUAAAAAAAAACAGAUUCAUGUGCCCUAAGUGCUGCAAAUUAAAAAUACAAUAAACCAAGAAAAGAAAUGCAAACAGAGGAAUACAGUCUUCACAGCAGGAGGGCUUUAGGAAACAAUUUUAGGCUGUUUAUACAUCACUCACCAUUUUGUAUUUGCGUUUUUUCACCUCUGCGUUGUUUGCACUUGUUUUGAAUUUGCAGCCUUUUAUCACAUCAUAGAAAUCUGUUGGGCUGCUGCAGUGUUUUUGCACUUUUCUGCCAUCACAGUUAUGUGCAUAUAAAGUAGAUACAGCAUCGUGUCGCAAUAUUUUGUCUCGUGAUAUAUCAUAUCGUCUCAUUUACCAAGUAUCAAUUUUUUCAAAAUAGUUGUUGAUAUGAAGUCAAAUCUAUGAUAAUGGAAAAAUAAAAUCGACUGGUUGUCCAGUGAGGUUGGCAGAGGUGACAUCACAGAGCAGGAGAAAGUUAGUUUAACAAAUUUAUAUAAGGUUUGCAAGAUGUGCUACAUGAAAAUAAAAUACUGUGUAAAUGAGACAAACAUAAAGGAAAGCCAGCGUAAAUUAGCUAAACAGUUGAAAAAUUGUAUAAAUCUCAAUAUAUUGUAUUGCAAAACUCACUGUAUUGUAAAAUGUUAAAAAUCGCAAUAAUAUCGUAUUGUGGCCCUAGUAUUGUGAUAAUAUCGUACUGUAGGGCCACUAGUGAUUCCCACCCCUAAUAUCAAACUCUUCAAAGACAGACUAACAACGUUAAAAAUACAUUUAGUAUUUACAAAACAGCAUGCCACAAAUUUGUGUAAAAUGAUGCAUUUUUUUCAAAUCUCUGUGUCUCUGGGUGCAUCAGGUGCAAGUCUUCAUAAUAUCGACUGAAAAACCUCAAUGGUGCCAUUUAUUGCUUUCAAUGAGUUAUCCCAAGGAUGAUUUAUUCUCCGUUUGAUUCAUGGUUAAUAUUCAAGCGUUGUCCUUGGUCUCAAAAAGGACCAAGAUGCCACUUAAACAACCACCCUCUCUGCUCCUCCCCCUUGAAUCUGUUUCAGUAUGCAUCAGGGACUCUGGAGGGGUAUAACCAUGUGAGAUAUCUCUCUCUCGCUCAUUCCAAUCAGCUCUCCCUCCAUGCCCUCCGCUCAGGUAAUUAACUUCUCCCUCCCACCUCCAUCCGCUUCACGCCCAGCCUCCCUCUGCUCCUUAUCUGCACUCCUUUCAGACUGUUAAAACUAUCAGCCUCCUUCUCCCUGUCCCCCCUUGUCUAAUUCCUCAUACUGAAGGUGAGGAAUAGGUAGAAACUAAUCCAGACCCCUCCACCACUUCCACCCACCAUCCCAUGCUCUCACCACCUGAAUCGCUUUCUGCCUUUUUUUGUCCUCUUUUUAAAAGAAAGGGUGAUUUUCACCUUCAGUUUGAAUGGAGAUUGAAGAGCCAGAGAUUGGAUUAAUCAGACAUGUUAUCCUGAUCGGUGAAAGAGAGACUUGAUCGCUGCUUGCUAUAACCUGAUUAGGAUACACCCUUACGUGCACACACACACAGACACAGACUGAGGAGGUAAGGCGAGCAAAGACAGGCUACAUCUUUGACUUUUCUACGAACUGUGAGGGAUUAAAGGAGAUUGUAAUUGCUUUUUCUCUCCUCUCUUUCAGUUCAUUUGUAUUGACAACUUGUUUCUCAUCUGUCGCAGAGCAGGAAGGUCACAGAUCUAUGAAAAGAGUCGAGCGGCCUCUUGACAAAGAUGGCACAAAUGUAGGGCUGGAGAAAAAAAAAGGUGGAAGCUUUCAUCCUUUCUCCGGCGAGGCCUCUUAUGUAAUAUUCAUGAUGCAAUUCAGGACAUCUUUAAAAGGUAACAGUGUUCAGUAAUGAAUGGAGAGUACAAAGACAGGUACAAUCUCAGACAGAUAAUCUCUGUCAUAAUUACCAUAAUGUGAUAAAAAAAAAAGAGUCCUGAUUGAAAUUAAGCAGAAAGACAUGUGUCGCUCUCAUGCCUGCCUUCAUUCUCCUCCGACUCUCAGUAUUUAUAUCCGUCUCUAAUAGCCUGUGACUCACAGUGUGUGGCACCGCUCACUGAGUUAGAGGUCAAGUGUUAAGUGUUGUGUGUGCGCUAAGGAUUCGUUCCAGAUCGCGUGUGGUUAACUGAGACGAUGUCGAGUGUGCUGUUAAAAAUUUGUUUCGGCUCACAGACUCAGCUGAACUGCAUCGUAAAAAUAGUCAGCAGUGAGUCCCCAAAACAAAAGGAUCACAUCAGUGUUUGCAGAAUUUACAGCCUGCAAGAAGGGGAUUUCUUCGACUGUAAGAGGACAGGAAGAGCUGCAGAAAGAGAUAAAUCUGUGUGUUCAGUGUGUAUUUAAAACACUUUUAGUUUUUAAGUGUUGAAUAAGAACUAAUGAAUACUUAUUACCACUCAAAAUGGUUGUUAUAAGGCCUCAUAGAUGGAUUUAUAAAGCUUUAUAAACAUGCUUAUGAUGCUUAUAUAAGGGGGUCAUAUAAAAUAUUACCAAACUAUGUUUUAAAACUCUUGUUAGGAGUUUAAAUUAGGUUAUUGAAUGGACUGUGAUUUUAUGCUGAGGUAUUUGUAUAAACUAACAAAGCAAACCAGUCCAUGAAAAACAAAACUGAAAUACUCUGUGUACAGAGAUGAACAGUGAUUUCCAAAAAUGGCACAAACCAGAACUUUGACACAAGAGCGCUAAAAAAACUAUCAAAGAGUUUUAAAGACCCACUCCAAUGAUAAUCAAGUUUUUCUUGUUUUUUUGUAUGUUCAAAUGGCAUUUUUCUGAUGCUUCAGGACAAAUCAUGAAAAAACUAAAUGCGAAAUUGUUUUUCUGAAUAUUUCUUCAUUAAAUCACUGUGAAUCUCUGGCAGACCCAAACGGCAGGUUCAGAAACAGUGAGGUUUUAUACGUAACCAAUCCAAGCUCCGCCCUCGGAGCCCCGCUAUGCAGUUGACACUCUGAUAAAAGAGAGGACAAUUGCGGAGCAAGCGUGUGCGUAAGUGGAUUGCAAUGCUCGCAAGAAAGCUGAUUAUGAUUAUAGCUUUCAUCACGUACCUUAAGACAUUGGUGUCUGAGAGCUGAAUAGCUCCUAUGUUAGCUGCCACUUCUUCGAAACUGGCAAUGUUAGGCUGCAAGCAAACGUGAAGAUGAGUGUGCAGUGCAGCGCUGUCUCUGCCCAUGACUCCGCCCAUGACUCCAAGGUGAAUUGCUGAUGAUCUGCUGGAGCUCUGCAGAAGAAAAUCCCUUGAAAACGACACAGGCAAUGCGAUUUUUAUUAAAAACUUCAUAAUCAAAAUUUUUAAGACCACUGAGGUCACUUGAAGUAGUAAAAAAAAACAAAAAACGGUCAGAGUGGGACUUUAAGUGUUCAGUUUUUAGCAAUAGUGUAUUUCAGAGAAAAUCCUCGACAAACUCAAAUGAAUAAAUUCGAGAGAUCAUUCUUAUUGUGUUGAAGCUCCCCUGCCAGGUAUCUGUUGAGAGGUAUACCUUGGGCCUCUAGCUGGACUUUUACCACUUGCAAAUUAAAGGUGCUCUCCUGUCUGAUGAACACAUAACCAGAGUGUGUAAUUUCUGUCUUUUGUGGUCCGCUUAACAGCCUCUAAAGUGAUCACUGAUGGUUUCAAAUGUUAUGAUUUCUUUCCGUUAGGGCCUCAGUACACACUCAUUAGACGGUGUACAUUUCUGAAUCAAGGCCUCGUUUCUUCUCUUGGCUGUAUCAUGUUGCCUGGACAAAGAUGUAGAUCCCUCCUCCUUUUACACCUCCGACUAAAGACCAGAACAAAGACCUGAUUCACACACCCUUCAUACACUUUCCUCUCUUUGAGUGUUAAUUGUUGAUGGCUGCACAGCACAAGUUGGCCCCCCUACUCGGCUAUCCUUGCCUUUUAAAAGCCGGUUAAGCUGUGGCAGUGCAGGUCUCAGUGGUGGAGUGGAUGGAUGGAUGGAGAAAGAGAAAGACUGAGAUAAAAGUAGAAAUGGAGAGCAGAAAAUGAGAGGGUGCAGUCAGAGAAAGGGAAGCAGGAGAUUACACACAGUUCUUAUCUCAAAGUGAAAGAAGGAUACAGUGAUGAAAGGAGAAAGAGGAGGAGGGAGGGAGGUAGAGGUGUGGUGCUUAGGGCCAGUUGGUCAGCAGCUCCAUAUAAGACCAGGACCUCUGCAUGUGUCUGACCUCCCUGUGGAACAUGAAAUGUAGCUGUGUUUCAUCUCUUCUAAUCAAGUUUCCUCUCUUUUACCAUCUUUCAACCCUCCCUUUAAAAGAGUAGUUUGUUUGUAACAGCUGGAAGAGUAAGCUGUCUCUCUAACUCUUAUUAUAUCAUUAAAGAUAUUUGACAGCAAUGGCACUCCAUACCUUCAGAGUCCUUGUUUAUUCUCAUGAUACAUUUAGAGUCUGCAUUUCUCUACUAGCCCAUUUUUGUUGUCUCUCUUUUGAUGGGUUAUUUCAAAGGAACACAAAGGGUCAUACUGGUGUAUUGUUGGCACUGCCUGGUGUGUAUUGUAAAUUCUUUAUCAAGUUAUUGCCAGGGUUUUACACAGAAAAAGGUGAGUAACACUUUACUUGACGCCUAUCUCUAUAACGCAUAAUAAAUAUAUGUCUUAUGUGGUAUAACCACGUUAUAGCACUGUAUAACUAUAAUUAUAAACACUCAUAAAUGAUCAUAAUGCUUUAUAGCAAUAAUCAUAACACAUUAUAAAGCAUUUUAUCAUGACUAACAAGGUCAGGUAUUAUAAUGUGUUAUAACUGUUAACAACUCAUUUAUGUGGACAAGGCUUUAUAACAUAAGUAUAACACAGUAUAAUACCUGACCUUGUAAAUCAUGAUAAAAUGCUUUAUAAUGUGUUAUGAUUAUUGCUAUAAAGCAUUAUAAUCAUUUAUGAGUGUUUAUAUUGAUAGUUAAACAAGUUUAUAAGCAAAUUAUAACACAUCAUAAAUAUAUGUAAAAUGCAUUAUCUAUGUGGGCAUAGUAAGUGAGUUUUUAACAGUUAUAACACAUUAUAACACCUGACCUUGUUAGUCAUGAUAAAAUGCUUUAUAAUGUGUUAUGAUUAUUGCCAUAAAGCAUUACGAUCAUUUAUGAGUGUUGACUAUACUUAUACAGCGCUAUAACGCAAUUAUCACACAUUAUACAUAUAUUUACAAUGCGAUAUAGAGAUAGGCGUCAAGUAAAGUGUUACCAAAAGGUCGAACACUGAUGAGGUAAUGCAGCAUGUUAGAAAAAAAAAAAGAUCAUUGGGCUUUUCCAGGGUGUCACAGUAAAUUUAAAACAGUAUAUCCAUCACUCAUUUUCUAUGUGGCAGGUGCUACCAAGACAGGUUACAAGCUGCUCCCCGGAGAGCAACAGAUAGGAGCACAUGAUUCAGUAGGAAGGAGUAAUGGGAUGCAAGGGAUGAUCAGAGGAAGAUAAGAUUUCUUUAUCAAUGAACCACAAGGUGAGCAGAAAAUAUGAUUUCUUGCUCACACAAACUGCUUUUUCCCAGAUCACAGAAGGAAAUUGAGUUUUUUUUUCAUUCUGAGGGUGACUGUAGCAUGUUUUUAGAAGGCUCCUCCUCUGUGCCCCUCUGGGUCUGUUUCAUUGUGCCUAACUGGAUUAAGAUGGAUGGAUAGAGAUGGAACCAGCAGGGAAAUAAUAGCAUUAGUACCUGCACACUGAGCACUAGUGAUCCAUUGUCAAUCCAAACCUGUUCAGCUGUGAUUGACUAGUGAUAAAGACUUUUACAUGAAGAGCACUUUGCCCUCCAUGUGACAACCAUACCUUUGCAGAAACUGUAAUCACAAUUUACAGAAAGAGCGCUCUUUAAGAUGUAUUAGUGUCUGUUGUCUUUAAAAGUUCAGGCUAUAGUUAAUCAGUCAGAUUGAAUCUGGUGGUAAAUCUGCUUUCCAUUGACCACCUCAGUUUCAAAGUGUACAAUAAGAAGUGAUCGACUGACAGGAGUUUGUCCACCGAUGAGUAAGCUGUGUAUCUUUGUUCCCAGAAGAAAAUCAUUGGUGGCAGCUGUUUCCUAUAAGUCAGCCCAAAAUCUCCUGUAAAAAGCCGAAAUACAGGAGACAAGAAAAGAUAGCAGAAAGUAACAGUAAUAGUGAAUUUGUGAGCCGCAAUCUCCUGAGAUCUCCAUUAAGUGGCAGUGAGCAGAGAGCCGGUCAGAUAACCUUUCUGUCUGGGAGCCAGCACUAUCUGUUAAAAGAAGAUAUCAUUGGAUUAAGCAUAUCCUCCGAAAGCCUAAAACAGCUGAUCUCUGACUGAUACAUGCCUUUAUUAAUUACUGAGUGUAGUUAAAGAUGGGCCCAUGGCAGAGAUUACUCUUCAUCCUGGUCGUGUUUAAAGUCUUACUGUAAACUGUUCACCUUUUUUUCACCUUUACACGUGAUUUUUGAAGAAAGGUUUUGCACAUGGCAUCAGUCCGUGCGCAGAUGUGACACUUUUUCAUGCAUGAAAGACAUCUGAACAGAUUUCUUGUAAACAGGCAGAAGGGGAAGUUAUUCAUUUUUCCUCAUAUUUGUUUAAUCUGGGUGUUGUACACGUUUUGUGCGAAACAGAAAGAGCACAAAGGAACCAUAUCACAAGCAUGAUCAGAAAGUUUUUUUGUUUUUUUUUUGGCAGAAGAGAGUCCGAAUAAAAGAGAAGAACUAAUAAAGCCAUAGCAGGAAAAACUUAACAAGAAAACCGCCAUGUUAGCAGAGAACAAUGUUUUGUGCUUAUUGCCAGAACUAAUAAAGUUUAAUGGGCGUAAUGGGUACCACUUAGAUUAUCUGUGAUCAGUGCAUGAAAAAAAAAGAUCACAUUUUCUAAGUAAAACUAAAAUCAAGCUGGGGUUUAGGUUUUUUGUUGGUAAAUCUCUAAAUUUUUAAGGAAAUUGGUCACAAUCCAAGUUACAAAUCCAACCCACUCACACUCUGAACAUAAAAGGUUGACCUCAUGAUGCUGCUGGAAGUCAGCAUAUCACCCAAGUCAUGAGGAUACAUCCUCUACAGACCGAAAUUUCAUGUCAAUGCAUUCACUGUAGUAUUUGCGAGGAAAUUUCAGCCAGGGCUUAAAUUCAUGAUUAUGAUUCAAUGAUUAUAACAACAUCCUCAAUAUACUACACUCACCAGCCACAACAUUAUGAACACUUGGACAAUCAAAUACAACCGAUUCACUGCAAAGUCUACUUUUAGUAAGCUUCUAGAUUUUGUUGACACAAUCGGACAAAUGAUUAUUAUUGCACUCAUUGCACAGUAAGUUGUGGGUGGUGUUUGUGUACUGGAGUGAGUAGUAUUAAAAGCUAUUUCUUGUGUUUUGUCAGGAGCAAAUUAUUUAAAAUGCCUUUCAGUAUAACACACCUCUACAGUAAUACUGCUCUGUCUGACCUUGCACAUGAAAAAUGAAAGUUAAGAAGCUUGGUAAAAGUGUUUUUUGUGGUAGAGCUGUUGAAUUAGGUUGCAAAGGAUUUCCACGGUGUUCAAAAUGUUAUGGCUAGUUAGUGGAGUGGCAGGACUAAUGCCAACAAUAACUAAUUAAAAAUAUCAAACAUUAGGGUAGUUUGAAUUAAUGACAGUAAAGGUCCUUAAACACUGGGAACGAUGCAAAUAUACGAUGCGAAAUUACGAAAUAUUUGGAGGCAAAUUUGACGCGCCUGACUGUACACAUCAAGCACGAUGCGAUUUUGCGACUUUCUGGGGGGAAAAAAGACGUGUCCCGGGUGGAAGCGAGAAGACUGACACAACACUAGACUGACUGUUUUUCAGUUCUGAUUAGACACUAGUGUUGAGAUGGCUGUCUGUCAUGAUAGCAUGUACUGAGUCGGGGCCAGUACCAGAUAAGCACAUUAAACUAUAAUCCAUAAACGUAAGGUAACAACCGAGACCUAAUGGUGCUGUGACGCGAUUGAGUUUGACAAUGAAAAUACAUAUGGUGUUUUGUAUCUGAACAGGUUAGCUUACGAGCUAAAGUUACUUAGCACAGAUGAAAGCUAAAACAAAGACGUUUAGCAAACUGUUAAAGCACACAAACCAUCGUCAUAUGAGAAAUCCGACGCUAUGACUCUCCACAAGUUGUCUUUCAGGUCGUUAUCUUCGUAAUGUUUGUGUUUUUUAUCAAAAAGCACUCUGUUCUCUGAUACAUAAACAAUCAGCCAGCCAGUUGGAUGUACCGGUGAAUCUGACGUUGCAACAAUACAAAAUCUGUUUGGUCAGAAGUGGACACACGGUAUGCGAAACUUUAGAAAUAACUUUUUAAAUAAUUGCCGCAAUAUCGCAGGACGGGAAAACGUCGCUGAUGUGAACGCUUGUAUUGACGUGAUACGGGUUCAAAAAAAAUUUUGACGUCCAAAAUAAUCACACGACAAAAACGCUCCCGGUGUGUAAGGACAUUACUUCUCUAUAUUUUGACAUCUUUGCCUGUGAGAGAGGCACCUAAAUAAGAAGUAGUUGUUGUGUGUUCUCUCUGCAGGAUUUCUCAAUAGCUUUGAUUGUUAUUAGUUUAUACAAGAAUUUCAAGCCACAUGAAUGGAUGCUGGUGAAUGCAGGACUGUGGACUCUGCAGGGACAGAGAAAAACCAGAUGGUAGAAGAUGGUUAAGGGGAUGGUUAGGGGGAUCUGCAGAUAACAGCUGUACUCUCUUAUUGAGGUGUCUAAGCGUCUGAAGAAUUAGCCUAUCAAUGCGAUAUCAAAUUUGUUUUCUGUCUGUGAUAUUGUACCUUUAAAGAAAUGUAAUUGAUAAUCACAUGAAUGUGUUGCUAGUAUCAAAGCUGUUGUAUUUAAAAGGAAGUGUGCUGGCAUGAAUGAAGAUAUUUAAAUGGUGUGUGUGUGUGUGUGUGUGUGUGUGUGUGUACGUAUGUGUUGGUGUUAGGGGGGUAGAAAUCGAGCAUUAACACAGUGGAAGUGGCGCUGUUCAUUUGUCAGGAGAUGGAUUGCAGCCAUUGAGAGGAAAAGCUUUUAAUUUGGCUCUGGUGUGGUAAUUAGGUUUCAAUUCGCCGCGCUUACUAAGAGGAAUGGGGAGGGUAAUGGAGUUAGUCAUCUUACUGUGUGUUUGGAGGGAGGGAAAAAUGUGUGUGUGUGUGUGUGUGGAGGGGGGGUAGUAUGCACAGUGUACAUUUACAGUUGCUCUUGUGCUCUAAUUCAUUGUGUAAUGCUGUUUAUUAUGGGUAUCACAGUGCCUCUAAGCAUUAGUUAAGUGGCCCUGGCACAUUACAGUAAUGGAGAGAGAACAUGAAAACACACUGAAACCUGAUCUAGCUCCACUCUGCUGCUGUGCUCUCCCUUAUGUCUUAAUAAUGUCUCUCUUUACACGGUAGGAAAUAUUUUACCUCUGUCUCCCUUGACUUCCAUCUUUUCCCCUUGUGUGUCUUCCUCUUGAUCUGGUCUGGAUUGCUUUGGGGUCUCUAAUAGAUGGGUUUUGUAUGCAGAAAGUACAGGUCAAGUUACAUGGUGUAACAAUUAGAAAAAAGGAAACAAGGAAAUGAGAAAAAGAAAGUGUAUAUAAGCUUGUAGUUUUGUUUCAGUACAAAGAAAUGAGAAUCCUAUAUCAGGAAUUGUAGAGAAAUUAAUUAAAUGUAAUUUAGUGUAAGAUGAGGCGUGUCUUGUUUAAAAGUUCCUGCUUACUUUUUCAGUUGUCCUACUUGCUCAUAGUUUGUGCAUUCAUGCUCCGAAAUGUCUGUCAACUGUGUAUGCUUUUGUGUUCACUUUUAUCUUGUGUGUGUGUGUGUGUGUGUGUGUGUGUGUGUGCGCGCGCGUGUGUGUUUGUAUACUUGGCAGUGGGCACAGUAGCCACAUGACGACCCAUGCUUGACCUCUGAGAAGCGUGUAGGCGCCGGGGUUCAGUCUGACUCCUGUCACAUGAUCCCCUGCUGCCCUCCCUCUCUCCAUUCACAAUAGAGUAUUAAUCUGAAUAACACACACGCACACUCAAAGACACACAAAAAGCUCAGAAACUGUCACACAUACUUAGCUCAAAAAACACGCCCAAAUAGACACUGCUUUGUCUCUAAGUGCAGCAUUUUAUGACGCCUUUCAACUGUAACAUUACAGAGUAAAAUCGAUGUUCAGCAAGCAUUUUUCUAGGAUCAUCUCCUCAUUUAUUGGCGUCUCCAUAGACUUUACUGGGUCUGAUCUUUGAGGGCGGAGGCAGGUGUCCUGAUAUACAAAUGCCACCAACUUUUAGUCUAACUGUGCUCUCAGCUGAGGUAUUGAACCUUGUUUAGUUCUUUUCUCUCUCCUUCCUGCUGCCUGUUGACUCUCCCUCUCUUUGGUUUAUCAUUAAAGGAUUAGCAGGCUGAGAGAUGGAUGAGGGGGCCUGAGGUGCAGUUGGUUUUCUGCUAAUAGAGGACGUGUGCCUUCUGUCAGUCUGUUUUGUAACCCCGCUCGAAUCAAAACCCCCUUUCAGAGUUUUAUUUUUCAAAUCAUAAUUUCUUGCUUAUACAAGUUAAUACACCGUUAGCUGAGCAACUUCCUCUUACCUCUCCAGUCUCUCCCACGGUUGGGGCCUCCAGCCUCCCAGCAUCCUUGGUGUGUGGGCUGACUCCAGCUCGGCUUCCUGUUAUAGAAAUUUGCGGAACCGCGAUCCCCCCAAACGCACACACACACACACACACACACACACACCCUCAGCAGCCCUGCAGCCAUCUGUAGGUGAGUGUGUGUCUGCGAAUGUGAUAUACUGUUUGUGUUCGGCUUCUUACACAAUCAAGUCAACCUGUUAGAAGUAAGGAGAUGAGCCAAGAUAGAGAACUGAAGGUAAUCGAGUAGAAUCAAGUCAAGACACGGAAAUGCACAUGGUAGUUUUAGAAGACAACAAAGGAUGAUGUAUAAUUGCAUGACUUAUUACUACUACUUUUACUACUAUUACUACUACAUGCCUUAUUAUCCCAUGACGAGUAGUGGUUCAGGUGGUUGAAUAGGUAGUAGUUUGUUGGCAGAACAUGUAGAUGAAGCAGAUGAAGGAUACCCUGCUAUUGUGUUAGUUAAAGUCCCAAUCCCACUGAUUUUUUUUAUUGUUUAUAGUGUUCUCAGUGGUCUUUAAAUUGUGAUUAUGAAGUUUUCAGCCAAAAUCAUGUUACCUGUGUCAUUUUGCUUUUCUUCUACAGAGCUCCAGUAGCACAUUAGCAGUUCGCCUCUUAGUUGUGGGUGGAGACAGCGCUGCUCUGCACACUCCUCCUCACGUUAGCUUGUAGCCUAACAUUACCUGUGUAGAAGAAGUGGCAGGAAAUAUAGGAGCUAUUCAGGUCUCGGACACUAAUGUCUUUGGGGGCAUGAUGAAAGUAAAUAUAAUAAUUAGCUUUCUUAUGAGCAUUGUAAUCUGCUAACGCACAUGCUUAUCCUGCGAUCGUCCUCUCUGGCCUGCAGAGUGGGACACAGGGGGCGGAGCUUGGAUAUGUGACAUAGAAAUUCCCACUGUUUCUGAACCUGCCAUUUGGGUCUGUGAGAGGUUCACAGCGAUUUGAAUGCAGAAAUACUCAGAAAUGUAGUUUUGCUCUUAGUUUUCUCAUGAUAUGUCCCGUAGCAUCAGAAAAAUGCCAUAUGAACAUGUAGACUAGACAACAAGGAAAACAUGGUUUUAAUCAGAGUGGGUUUUUAAGGCUGCACGGAUCAGCUUUAUAGCCUUUAGCUGAUGAAAUAAUGACAUGUAAUGUGUUUGUGGUCUCUUCUGAUGAUCUUAUCUGCUAAGUAUCAGACAGCUCAGCAGUUUCCUUCAGCCUUUUUUUUUUUUUUUUACCAUUUGGCUCAUCGUUCUGUUCACCCCUGCCUGCUAUUUUCCUGUUUCAGUUUACAAAAUACCUUUAUUAAACAAAUCACGUGUUUCAAACCUUUUUUGGCUAAAAAGCUAAACUGUAUCUGUUGAAUGCGUUUGUUGCGUCACAUUCAGAAAGAGAUUGGAGAAGGAGAGAAAAUUGCUCAGUGUGCCAGUACUAAACUCAUAACAUCAUAACUAAGAGCGAGCCCAAGCCUAAAGCAGCUUUAAGUAUAAGAUUUAUGAAAAGGGAAAGUUUGGAGCCUACUCUUUAAGGAAGGUGCUACUGUACUCUCAUUUUAUCGUUGGGCGUAACAGGUUUUCUUGGUUUUUGAAGCUGCCCUCAUGUGGACACUCAAGGUACUGCAGCUUUUUGGCACUAAUACAUAGGCUCAAACACUGAAGGUUGUUGCUUGUAUGAAAUACAGAUUCAAGUAUCUAAAGUAAGAGCUCCAUGAAUAGACACUGUAAAUUCUUCAAACUUAUUUCGUCCAUUUACUCUAAAUGCAGUCGAAGCUCAGUGUGAGUUUAUACAUUAGAUAACACGACAACAGUUUGCAGCGUACAUCGACCCUCACAGCCUCACAGUUGAAACAGGAGAACAACACAAGUACAAGCUGUAAUUUAUAGGUGGAGAUCAGCAGAGUAGGUGUGCAGGGUGAGGUUUCAGAACAUGGACUAAUAACCUCACAGCGUCACUCAAUCCCAGCAUUUGUGCUGGAGCUCUUUGGCUGCGCUGUCCAGGCAAUCUGAGCACCAUUGUGCUCAUGUGUGUCCCGGGGCAGUGGUUCAUGAAGCAAGUAUUUUCUUAAAUGACAAUAAAACACACAAUGAGAGGGUGUAAGGGAGAGGAUUGAUCAUGGUCAUUUCACAAUAGAUACAGUUAAGAGGAGACAGUCAGAUUUUCUACAGCCUUUGCUCUUGAGCUGACCGUGUGAAAGUGUGUUUUAUUAACAACUAUUUCAUUUGGUUUGAUAUUGUGUAAUUAACCAGAGAAAAAAAUUCAAAGCCUCAGAGCUCAGACUAAUGUAAGUAGCCAAGCUUGGGCGCACAUUGACCCCAGGACUCUCACAGUGGUCUGCCAGCUGCAUAGUAAAAAAAUUAUAUAAAAUCAGUACCUGUUUGGUCAGGCUUUGGCGGUGCAGCAUGCAAAGAAGCCACUUCGCUGCUAUCUAGCUCACUCAUCAGCAGGUCAGGAGGCCUUGAAUACAGAGGAAUGUGAAAAAGCUUCAGAGGUAGUGAGAUCUGCAUAGACCGAGGAGGAAAUUUGAUCACUUCCUCAUAAUUUUGUAAUUCAGUGGCUGAUAUUCUUGAAAUCUCCACCCACAGUAAACCUCUCACAUGGAUUUGACUUUAUGGUCCACCCACUUGUAACCACCAAUACUAAAUACAUACUGAGAGAAAAGUCAUGCAAAAAUAAAAGCUUUUUGAACAGAACAUGGAAAACACCAGCCAGUUCCUGUUUUAGAUUUGAUAUGCUGUAUAAGGAUGGCAAAAACCCAUUAUCAUUUGGAAGGACAAAAUGACAAUAAAUCAGGGCUGUCUGGAAUUUAUUUGAAUAAGAAUGAUUGAUUUCUGAAUUUCAAAAGUUUAACAGAUGUUAAAUUUUUUUUUUUUUUUUUUUGGUAUUUGAAAUUUUUAUAAAGGGAUAAUUUAUUUGUUUUUAUUCAGCUGGAGUUGGCUGACGUGCUUGUCAGUAGGAAGUGUUUUAGCCACGGGGAAUGUCUAUCAGCUUGAACCUUUUGUUGAGAAAGUCGCCAAAGAAUCUUAGCAGAAGCUCGCCUAUCUACAACCUCAGAUCUCUGACAUGUAAUUUAGCUAGUUUACGUGAAAUUUGAAACCGAAGUCCCAAGUGCAUCCUUUAUUUGGAAAUCAGUUGUUUGCUAUUGAAGAUUUCUAUUCAUUUUUGCGCUGUUCUUGUCGAAGGGGAUAAUGAUAUUCAAGAAACUGCUUGGAUAUAUGGCAUAAGAAAUAAGGCAUCAUAAGACCAACAUAAACACACUGAAUGAUGCUUUUUUUUUUUUUUUUAAGAAAUGUAUCAUUUCAGUGUAUUGAGUAAGCUAAUGAUUUUAGUACAUUUAAACAGUUAAGUAUGUGCGCAUUGUGUGAGUGUGUGCCAAUCUGCAUGUGGCCAAAUGACUGAGUAAUGGGGUUGAACUGUUUAGGAAACUUACUGUGAUUGUGCUCAAAGAGUUGUGGUAACUGCAUCUGCCUGCAGUGAUUUCUGCGAGCACUAAACGGCUCUUCUGCAGGUGACAAAACAGCCUCAUUAUACCAGAGCUGUAUACGGGACAAUACAACAAUACAGCUGGGUGUUGCGGCCACUGCAACAAAAGCAGUGAAAUUAAAGAUGUGAAGGAGGCUGUGUGGAAAUGGUUACACAGGGUGGUGGAGGGAUAGUGGAGGGGGGGGGUCUGCUGGUGCUGGGUUCAGAAGAAGACCCAACAUGUGAAGCGGAUCCAUGUCUGUCACUGUCUUUUCUUUUUUUUCCUCAUAUCUCUUGUUUCUCAUGGCCCAAUUUCCAACACUCGCCCCACCUAAGUGUGUGAAAGUUGUAUCAAGGUCUUGCCAAACAAACACAUAUCACUUGUUACAGAGGCAGCCCAAGCCUCAAUGGGGCCCUAAGCAAAAUUAUAUUGAUUGUUUAUCAUUCACACACCUACUACAGUACAAAUUUAAUGCGCCUGACAUGUCUUUACACAUUUAAGGGGAUGGCCUAGGUAAUAACAUAAAUAACACCGAUGCAACCAUACAAAUAAUACCAAUGAAUGACUGAUGAAUGAUGUUCAGGGUGCCACAUAUGGUUUUUAAUCUCAAAAUGUAACACAUUCAGGAUGCUCGGUGCACAUUGCACAGCAGGAGGCACAUAACAGUAGUGGAGCUUUGACAUAUUGGCAGUAAGAAUCAUAGGCCAACAUCAGCAGCAGCACUAAAAUGUUUUUACUUUAUUUUAUUUUUACAAUAAUAAAUAUUUGAUCAUACAGAAAGCAUCACUCAUACAUGCAUAUUUUAAUUUUUUUUUUUUUUUUUUUUUUGAUUGCUCUAGGGGCCCCCCUACUGACUGCAGGGCCCUAAGCAGGUGCUUAGUUCGCUUAUGCCUUGGGCCGGCUCUCACUUGUUAGCACUUGAUGCUUAAGCAUGUGAAAAAAAAGGCCUUUUGAAACAGAUUUUACUAAAAAUAAAAUGAUUUUGAAAAUAAGAAGAUAAAUGGGUUGAGAAAUGUCACACACUUGGGUGCUCAGUGGGGGCAGUGGAAGGGUUAAAGAAGCACAUCACACAAAUUACAAAAAAAGCAAGAUCGAAAAGCAAUAAAAAAGAAGAGGAAAUGAAAAGCAGCUUGAUGUUAGUGGGUGAUAAGAGGUGCACUCGUCAAGAAGUCAAACAGUUCAAAUAAAAAAAAACAGUGAAGAGAAGAAAGAGAGGUGUGAGGAAAGAAGAAGAGGAGAUAGCUGCACACAUGACACAUCGUGACACUUUUAUGAUCAGAGUCUUAUGAUGAAGAAUCAAAGCUUUCUAGAUUUGUGUAUGCAGUCGUGUGCAUGUGCGUGUGUGUGGGUGGGGGAUGGGGGGUGUUGGUGCGGGUGCAUGUGUGUCCGGUUUUGCAUAUUUAGCUCAUUAUCGGUUUUGACUGCAGUCAUUUCCAGCAUGCUGACUGAGAUAUCAGAGCUGGGAUCUACUGAAGGGGAAGGUGAGUGCUGUAGAAAAUUGCUGGAGUUGCAACACACGAGCUGCGUGCUGUGGCUGGGUUCAAUACUGAGACUCAGAUGCAGUUCAGCUCUGCUCAAGACAACCCGAUCACUUAAAUCAACAAACACACGCCCUGAAGUGUUCCCCCUUCUUUCAUAAACAUACUCUUAUUCCUGUCACUUCUUCCUCCACCCAUCUUUCAUCGAGUCCACUCUUCUGAUUGUUAUUUUGUGGUGUGACAUCUCUCUUGGUAGAGUGUGUUUCUUUUUUUUAACCCUUCCUCUCUUUCUCUCUAGUAGUGUCCCCAGGAAAAAAGGGGGCCUCUACACUGAGCUCUGCAGGUCACUGUCAGGUCAACAUUAGCUGCAGAGACGCUCAACCUCCAGAAUAGAUCCACAGCAAUGUCUUCCUUCAUCUCCCAUGCAUCCCUGCUCAAGGCUGUAGGGUCUAUCUGGUGAAAAAAAAAACUUUACAUUUAACUGGAAGGAACUGAAAACAUCCUGUUGAUUUGAUUGUGCAAUGAACACAUGAGUGAGAUUGAGGGUAGCUGAGGCUCAGUGGAAAAGACAGAAAGUUCCACCAAUUAGACACUGAACCCUCCCAGUGAUAGUCAGGUCAGUGGUGUAUGAACAUGUAUAAAAAGAAUAACUUAAGCUACAAACGGUUCCCUGCAAUAGUGCCAGUUUAGCACCAUCAUUUUACGACUUUGGUGUAACGAUAGAGGUAGUUAAAGUGCCACUCCAAUCGUUUUAAUACUCAAAGUGUUCUCAGUGGUCUUUAAAUUGUGAUUAUGAAGUUUUUACCAAAAGUCCCGUUACCUUUGUCAUUGUCAAGGGCUUUUCUUCUGCAGAGCUCCAGUAGCUCAUUAGCAAUUCAUCUCUGAGUCGUGACGGAGACAGCGCUGCUCUGCACACUCGUCUUCACGUUAGAUUGCAGCCUAACGUUGUCGGUGUAGUAGAAGUAACAGGUAACAGAGGAGCUAGCCAGCUCUCGUACACUAAUGUCUUUAGAGACACGAUGAAAGCUAAUGUCAUAAUUAGCUUUCUUACGAGCAUUGCAAUCCGCUAAUGCACACGCUUGUUUCACAAUCGUCCUCUGUAUUUCUCCUGUGUGGCCUGCAUGGCAAAGCUUUGGGGGCGGAGCUUGAAUUGGUUAUGUAUGAAAUCUCACUGUUUCUGAACCUGUGUUUGGGUCUUCCAGAGAUUCACAGAGAUUUGAAUGAAGAAAUAUUCAGAAAAGCAAUUUCCCAUUUAGUUUUCUCAUGAUAUGGCCUGUAGCAUCAGAAAAAUGCCUUAUGAACAUAUAAAAAAAAACAAGAAAAAAAUUGAUUUUCAUCAGGGCGGGUUGAUGAUGUCAUAUCCAAGCAAGGUCUACAUAAUGAGCAGUAAAGCACAGAUUAGUCUUGACUGAAGCGUCUCAGAGUAACUUACUUAAACCCCAGCAGCUGAGGUUUAACAGAAGCUAAGUUUAGGGUCCUUUUUUCUUUUCAAAUAAGAGUCAAAAAGCUAGGAGAACACCCCCUACAAGUAAACAGGUUCUGCAUACACAGACCAGUCUAAAAAAAAUGCUCCAUAAGUAUUCUGCAUGUUGACAGUGAAACAUAAGGGAUGCAUUAGCCUUCAUGCAAUCCAAGGACCCACCGCCUAUCAUUUGGCAAUGACUUGGCUUUUGAUUAACCCAGGCAGCGUAGAAAUAGGUCAUACAUGUCAUCUCCAAAGUUCAGUCUACUCUUGCUGAAUAACUGUUUUUGCUGAAAAGGAGCAAUGUUGGUUCUAAAGUCCUUCAUUGCUCAUUAGCAUGUUCACUGGCUACACCAGAAGUCCUGAAACUUGAGCCAUUUCUUAUUGCAGCAAUGUAGUUGUUAGAAGAUACUAACAGGUUCUCAGUUCAGGCUUCAAUUUGUGGUUACUUUCCUGAAUGAAAAUAACCUUUGAAGUAACCUUGACCUGUAGAUGAGUGGUCAGCAGAGGUAAAUCAGUCGUUUUUACAGAACUGAUACAGAGGGUGUAUUUCAAUAAUAUGACAUCUGAAAUUGUACUGUGACAUUGAUGCUGACUAUGGAUCGCUAAAUUGUUGGUUUAUAUAUAUAUAUAUAUAUAUAUAUAUAUAUAUAUAUAUAUAUAUGUAUAUGUAGGAUUUAUUUUUAUUUUUCUAUCAUUUAUUGGCACCUCUUCCUCUGCCAUUCUCUCAAUAUUUAGAUGUUAACUUCACAUGUACUCGACAACACUAAUAGCUCCAGACAUGAUCUUAUGACACUUCCUGUAAAGCAGUUAUAUAAACCAACCUCUGAUGGUACAGACUUACAGUAUAUGGGCCAGGGUUAGUGCAAUGCAUCUGAGACGUUUUGUCCUUCCUUCUGUCCUGCACUCCCAGCCUAGAUACCUGCCUCUCAGAUUUCCUGAGGGCUGAGCCCUGGGCUUUUUGUCAAGUGUGUUAUUAGAUAGGGGGGCCCAGACGCCCAGUCCCAGGGGCCCUAACACACAGGACGUUAGCGUGGUGCUACAGGAGUGCUAAAGUUCUGUCUCUGUAGCUCUCUGCUGGACCCUCCCUCCUUCUCUCAUUGGUACACCCGACUGAAAAAAAGAGGUGAUUGUUUGGAGACAAGAGGGAUGAAUUUGUCUGCUUCAGUUGGGAGAAGAAAAGCAAUUUGAAAAGGACUUGUCAGUGGAUGUGGAUCGGAUGGUUGGAAGGUGUUCCACUUUUCAGGGAGAAUGGGCGAUGUGUCAGCAUGUUCUACCUUUUUCUGCCUGUUCAGUGUCUGCAUUCUCAAUGUGUGUAGCUUUGCUCUACACAUGGAGAUCAAUGAACCCAAAUAACUCCUUUUUUAAAAAAUGUAUCCUCAUAAAUUUCCCCUUUAAGUGCUCCCGUCCCUGAUUUGCUUUGUUCAUGAUUAGAGGAACUAGACUUUGUACCAUUUAUUUUGUGAUAUCUCUUAUUUUAAAGGGGGAAUCAUAAAAUAUCAGAAAAGACCUUUAUACACCAUAUCUUUAUCUGUGUACUUGUAAAACAAACUGGCCACAGAGUACUCAUUAUCGUGUCCCUGGGGAUGCAAAAGUUUUGUCAGUGAUGUGUUGCUCAUUUCUCCUCAGGGAUGCAGCUGAUUCUAUCACGUGUUCUGAGGAGGGACAAUCAUAGCCCUCUCUCUCUCUUUUUUUGCUCCUCUUGGGAUCUCAGCAGAGACAACACCUCUGUGUGUUAAACCCAGAUCUCAUGGAAACUCGUCCCAGAUUGUAGCAGAGUCUCACUGUUGCAGAAUGGACACAUCUCACAUCCCCUAGUCCUUAAAAAGGGAACACUGUAGGACUGGGUCAAUACAGAUGAAAUGAUGACAUUGCAGCUUUUUGAGUCCUGUCCUUCAUACAGGGGACAGGUAUGCAGAGACAGUCGUUUUGUUUGUUGCCAUUGAGGUCAGAAAGUCUCUUGGACAUUUUUUCAACACUGUAACCUUCUUUUCGGGAAACAUAUUUAUGAUAAAUACUGUGUCUAGUUGCUGAAUUUACAUAUAUAUUUAGGUUGUAAUGAAAUCUUUCCAUUUAUAUCCAAACAAUAUUACUUCUAAUUAUGUCUGCAAAAGCAUGUUGCUGAAGGAAGAGACAACAGUCGGAUUGAGUAUUAAAUUUCAAAUAAUGCUUUACCUGAUCAUCGAACAAUACUCAGACUAGGAGGAACCUGGGACCCUGGUCCAACCAUGUGAAAUACCAAAAAAGAAAUAAUUAAGAUUUUAAUACAGUAUAUAAAACUGUAAAGUAUAACAUUUAUAAUUUGUUUAAAAAUGAAAAGACAUUUGUCAUUCAAGCCAGUCUCUCCAUACGAUCACAGAUCAGUAUCCAGUUUAGAUCAAACCAGAUUGUGAUGACAGUCUGCCCAGAAUCUGGGUGUCAUGAUUGAAGACUAGCUAAACCUUGAGGUUUAUGCGGCCUCGGCCCUGCCAGUUCAGGAGGAUCAGACCCUACCUGACAGAACACACAACAUAGCCCCUGGUACAAGCUCUUGGAAUAUCACACAAAGAAAACUGCAACUCCCUUAUUGACAGGCCUCCCUCCACGCAUGGUCAAACCUCUGCAGAUGAUCCAGAAUACCACAGCCUGUCUGGUUUUCAACCAACCCAGACCAGCUCACGUCACUCUGCUGUUCAUCUCUCUCCAAUGGCUUCUAGUAGCAGCCAACAUCAAAUAUUAAACCCCACAUAUUGCCUUCAAAACAGCAACGAAAUCUGCUCCUACCUACCUGCAGCCCCUUAUGCAGGUCUACACUCCCUCCUGCUCACUAUCCUCUGCCUAUGAGAGACGCCUGGUGCUCCCAUCACAACAGGGCCCUAAGCCACUAGCCAUAUUCUUCUUCUGGAAUGAGUUACCCAACUCUAUCAGAUUUUCAGAGUCCCUUUCUACCUUGAAGACUCAGCUGUAUAGGAAACAACUACGCACUUAAAGGAAUAUUCUGGCGUAAAAUUAAUUUAGGGUCAAACACACUGUAACACCAAGUUAAACGCCCCCUCGAGAGAUGAAUGUUGCUGACCGCUUGCUUCUCUAGUUAUACCAACUUUAGUAACGACCGCAGGAUAGCAAAACACAGCGGUCUGAGGAGCUAUAAACAAAUCUCAACCAAAAUGCCACCCUAUAGCCACAAAUAAUGCUCAGAACAGCACCUAACUUCAUCAACAGUACACAUGGGUCUGAGCCAUAGCAUGAUGAGCCAUUACGUGAUUUCUUUAGCAAAGAGACUAAACACAACUAACCUACUCUCUUCCAGCAGCCGCUUAUUUGUAGCGAGACCUCAGGCCAGUCCAUAUAAUGAGAUGAUGAGAUAACAUAAACCUUCAAUCAUCCCAUGGUGAGGAAAUUUGCCUUGUGAGAAGCAAAGGAUCAGCAUAGCAGCAUACUGUCAUGUUCAGAUGUAUGAAAAUAUGGUAUAGUCUUCAUUCUAUCAUUACAAGGUUAACAAGUAAGCACAUGUUUAAAAAGAAGAUACACCAAUAUCUAAUGACCCAGACUCACUGAAAUAAGAAACGGAACACCUAGACUAGGCUGUGACAACAUACAAUACAUGCCAAUGGGAUUUUGAUUACGAGUACAUUCAUCAUGGCCUUUAUUGGUGUUUAUUGUGAUUGUAAAUGUAAUGUCACCGUAAUUCCAGUUUUAGUUAUGAUUUUAACAUCUUGUAUAAUUCUCCUGUUUGGACUCUUAUCAUUUUAAUGUAUAUGAAUGUUUAUUGUCUUCUUGUGGACCCCAGGAAGAGUAGCUGAUACCUUGGUAGUAGCUAAUGGGGAUCCAAAUAAAUAAAUAAAUUGCAAACAUAAAAGAGUAAGUACACCCGUCAUGCACAUAGUGCACAGAUAAUUAUAAAACGUUAACUUAGAUCUAUACAGAAAAUGUCAUACAGAAAAAAGAGAAAAAAUGUUUUUAAAAAUGUAAAUAAAGUCUACUCAUUCGUUUUCUUCACUGUCUCUGUCUUUAUUUCAUUAUCUCUGUAACAAUACUUAAUAGUUUUUUAUGUGUUUGACCUUAAACCACAUCUGAGUUUUCACUUGAAUGCAGUUUUAUCCUCCCCUUGUCGACGCCUCCCCUCUGUCAUUUUUAGAGCUCUGAACUGGUAAGAACUCUGCUCCUUCCCCCUUUCAUCUUAUCUUCAUCUCUUUGCUAACUCACUCUUCUGAACUCACUUCAGGCUUGUUUCUGAUUCCCUUAAUUGAGUUUGGUAGAAAAACAAACGCUCUUGUAAGAGGGGGAACUUGUGCAAAGGUUGCAGCUCUGAGCCUCAGCAGUGAGCUGAUUUAGGAUGCCCACCCAGUCCCUGAAAGGUUUACCUUGAGAGGACCUUACUCUCAUUCCUUGGCUGUGUUUUAUCUCCUCUUUAUGAGGAAAGUAUCCGUCUUUUGAUUGUAUUUUCAUCAAGGAUGUGACAUUUCAAAAGGGUCAGUGAAUAAACCUAAGUGCCGGGUAUGUGGGGGUUUCGGGGACUGACAGAGUAAGUGCUUCCAGGGUUAAAGGUCAGGGUAGACUUGAGAGGAGGCUGCAUUCUGCACUCAGGCUGACCCUUCUCUUUGGUCAGCAGUGACUCACAGCUAAAGCCCUGAUGCAGAGGAGGCCUUCAACUUUUUUAGGAACUCAAAUCUGAGAUGAGAUUCAAAUACUGAGAUUUACUUUAUUGCAGACUGUGUGGUCAAAAUCACACAGCCAAAAGUUCAGGGUCCAGUACAUAGCAAUUCUGUGAUGAGACCCUCCACAUCUAAACAUGUACUAUACCUGGCGAAAGAACUGAGGCUAAUACUGAGUGUCUUUUGAAUAAGUUGCUUUUUUUGUCAUGUAAAACAUUGCUUUUUGGUUGCAACUUUUUUACCCAUACUGGUAUCUGCAUGUCACUUAUUGAUACUGAUUACUGUCCCCUUAUAACUAAUUGUUUAGCGCUUAGUCACCAUUGUAACUUAAACCUCCAGAUUGGUUGGCCAUCUCUGACAACAAUUGGUGCCCUAUAAACAAAGGUGUACACAUGGGUACACCUUAAUCUAUAAGACAAUUCUUGGCCUGAUACCACACUAUCUUUGUGGUUAUCUAUCACACAGAAAAAGUCCUGGAUUGUAUUCAUUGCAAUCUCAAGACUUUUUAUAUCCUCUCUGUCUCAAAAGCUUGUACAGAACCCAAAACCCCCAAACCUCCUCUUCAGCCAGUGAACACCUGUGGAGUGGACAUCGAAGUGGUGAGAUCAUAUAAAUAUCUAGGUGUACAUCUGGAUAAUAAGUUGGACUGGUCUAAGAAUACAGACUUCCUCUACAGAAAGGGGCAGAGCCGGCUCUUUUGCCUGAGAAGACUCCGAUCAAUACACAUCUGUAGUAAGACGCUGCAGAUGUUUUAUCAGUCUGUGGUGGCAAGUGUUCUGUUCUACGCUGCAGUCUGCUGGGGAGGAAGCAUCAAACACAAAGAUGCAAGACAUCUUAACAAACUGGUGAAAAAGGCUGGCUCUGUGGUAGGACUCAAGCUGGAUUUAGUGGAGGAUGUGGUGGAGAGAUCUACACUGAGG